CCUACGGGAGGCAGCAGUAGGGAAUUUUCCACAAUGGGCGAAAGCCUGAUGGAGCAAUACCGCGUGCAGGAUGAAGGCCUUCGGGUCGUAAACUGCUUUUAUGUGCGAAGAAUUUGACGGUAACACAUGAAUAAGGAUCGGCUAACUACGUGCCAGCAGCCGCGGUCAUACGUAGGAUCCAAGCGUUAUCCGGAAUUACUGGGCGUAAAGAGUUGCGUAGGUGGCAUUAUAAGUGGAGCGUGAAAGCGUGCGGCUCAACCGCAUUAUUGCGUUCCAAACUGUGAAGCUUGAGUAUGGGAGAGGUAGAUGGAAUUUCUAGUGUAGGAGUGAAAUCCGUAGAUAUUAGAAGGAACACCGAUGGCGUAGGCAGUCUACUGGCCCAUUACUGACACUAAGGCACGAAAGCGUGGGGAGCAAACGGGAUUAGAUACCCCGGUAGUCCACGCUGUAAAACUAUGGAUGCUAGCUGUGACACACACUACGACCUCGUGUCGUAGUACGAAGUUAACGUACGUUAACGUACGACGUCCGCCGUCGGGUAGGUACGGUCGGCGAACGUAAGUUAAACGUUAACGUUAAAGGAAAGUUAGUUACGGACGUGAGACGUUGCCGACGGACGACGACGAGGGAGGAGG
RNAcentral lists this ribosomal RNA (635 nucleotides) under uncultured bacterium. RNAcentral describes it as "bacterial SSU rRNA". The stretch from base 1 to 533 matches the Rfam family "Bacterial small subunit ribosomal RNA", at positions 338 to 873 of the family's 1533-position model. The record is from RNAcentral.